Molecule: long non-coding RNA, 926 nt
Organism: Temnothorax curvispinosus
Lineage: Eukaryota; Metazoa; Arthropoda; Insecta; Hymenoptera; Formicidae
Exons: 3
Source: RefSeq, a predicted model, not a curated record
AACCAGCGUACAAUACAAAAUUUCGUCUACUUAUCGCGAGGAGCCAUUGGAUCCGCUAGAAUCAAACAAGAUGAUCGGACAGUUAUAUAGAAUCGUGGUCACGUGAAACGCGGACGUUGACAUCGGAGCGGCAGCGAGGGAUGCGUUCUCCCGUGUUCGCGAGUGAUAGUCGCGGCAGCAUGACUGCCGCGGCCACGUAGUCUCGCGUGCACGCACGCGGACAGAGAACAGUACGUCGUCAGUGCAUCGUCAUCAUCAUCCAUCGUCGUCGUCGUUGUCGCCGUUGCUCCGUGCGUGCGAGAGCCGACCACCGAGAAUGCCGGUGUGAAGUGAAAGAACCAUAAGCGCUGCGAAAAACGCUUUCGCGAUUCUUGCAUGUCGUAAAUUUUACCUAUCACCCCGAGGAUACACGCAGAAACAAAGACACGUGCGGGUUUUUGGACUAGCUACUUGAAAAUUAUACUAUUUCCAAUUCUGAAUUCGGCAUCCUUCAUGAAUUGCUAAUCAAAGAUAAUUGGCUAUAUUUUCUUCAUAUAUUUAGCGCUAAUUGCGCUAAAUAGACGUUGAGAAUAGAGACCAAGAAUUGCCAAGAACCAAAUUAUACUGAGUGCGAUAAAAAAAGUCGCUUUGGGAUACGGAAUGUUGAGUCUGAUAUGUACAUAUAGUUUAUAGGAUUAUGGUAGCUAGCCGGUGCGUUUUAGUACUUCCGUUCGUCUUCUAUUACGAUUUUAAUAUCUUUAAUAUCGCGAGCGCAAAACGUGUGUCGCGCCUUGGCGACGUCCGUCUUACUAAUUCCGGGCGAUGUUAAUUGCGAAGUAAAUUUGUUCAAGUAAAACCGUGCGCGAGCGGACAAGUCCUUAUUUUCGACCAUUAUUUUUCACACACGGCGAAGGUGGCGAUUUCUUACUUCAAGUCCGGUUUAAAAC